GAUGAACGCUAGCUACAGGCUUAACACAUGCAAGUCGAGGGGUAACGAGAGGAAAGCUUGCUUUCCUUGUCGACGACCGGCGCACGGGUGAGUAACGCGUAUCCAACCUGCCCCCAACUAGGGAAUAACCUUGCGAAAGUAAGACUAAUACCCUAUAAUUUCCUCAGAUGUCAUCGGACGAAGGAUAAAGAUUUAUCAGUUGUGGAUGGGUAUGCGUCUGAUUAGCGUGUUGGCGGGGUUACGGCACACCAAGGCAACGAUCAGUAGGGGUUCUGAGAGGAAGGGCCCCCACAUUGGAACUGAGAGACGGUCCAAAGUCCUACGGGAGGCAGCAGUGAGGAAUAUUGGUCAAUGGGCGGAAGCCUGAACCAGCCAAGUAGCGUGCAGGAUGACGGCCCUAUGGGUUGUAAACUGCUUUUAUACAGGAAUAAAGUUAGCCACGUGUGGUUAUUUGUAGGUACUGUAUGAAUAAGGACCGGCUAAUUCCGUGCCAGCAGCCGCCGUAA
RNAcentral lists this ribosomal RNA (506 nucleotides) under uncultured bacterium. RNAcentral's name for it is "partial 16S ribosomal RNA". It matches the Rfam family "Bacterial small subunit ribosomal RNA", at positions 28 to 523 of the family's 1533-position model. The record is from RNAcentral.